RNAcentral lists this small nuclear RNA (117 nucleotides) under Suricata suricatta (meerkat). Its description in RNAcentral is "U2 spliceosomal RNA (ENSSSUG00005023133.1)". It matches the Rfam family "U2 spliceosomal RNA". From Rfam's summary of the family: U2 is a small nuclear RNA (snRNA) component of the spliceosome (involved in pre-mRNA splicing). Complementary binding between U2 snRNA (in an area lying towards the 5' end but 3' to hairpin I) and the branchpoint sequence (BPS) of the intron results the bulging out of an unpaired adenosine, on the BPS, which initiates a nucleophilic attack at the intronic 5' splice site, thus starting the first of two transesterification reactions that mediate splicing. The record is from Rfam by way of RNAcentral. Lineage: Eukaryota; Metazoa; Chordata; Mammalia; Carnivora; Herpestidae.
AUCACUUCUCGGCCUUUUGGCUAAGAUCAAAUGUAGUAUCUGUUCACGUCAGCUUAAUAAAAUUAUUCAUUCACCUUCUUACAAAAUGUAUCAUGAUUUUUGUCACCCAGACCUUAC